Long non-coding RNA from Etheostoma spectabile (orangethroat darter), 115 nucleotides. RefSeq lists it as uncharacterized. The record is from RefSeq and is a predicted model, not a curated record. The transcript is spliced from 3 exons. Lineage: Eukaryota; Metazoa; Chordata; Actinopteri; Perciformes; Percidae.
CAGCCCUAGUCAAAUCUGCAAGACGCUCCGCUUCUGAGACGCUCUUGGUGUGGUAUGGCGUGGUGGAGGACGGAACAAAACCGGAAUGCAGCACAGACGCGCGCAGUGAAGAAUG